AACGCACCUUGCACUCUCUGGGUCUACUGGAGAGUAUACCUGUUUGAGUAUCAGAAAGUACUCUACUCUGGGGAGUAGGCAUUGAGGUCCAGCUGAGGCUGUUCCUCUAAAAGGAGGGAGUGGUAGGUUCGACGACCAGUGCGGUAGGAAUAGGCAGUAUUCUCCCACGAGUCGCCGGGCGGAGCUCUUUUUUUUUGGACUAUGAUCUCAAAUCAGGUAGGAUUACCCGCUGAACUUAA
This 239-nucleotide unclassified non-coding RNA is filed under the name uncultured fungus. RNAcentral describes it as "partial contains 5.8S ribosomal RNA, internal transcribed spacer 2, and large subunit ribosomal RNA". The record is from RNAcentral. Lineage: Eukaryota; Fungi.